UUAGCUGGUGUUCAAACAGAAUCCUUAGUUGUAUGCAACAGAAAUUGACUUUUUCAGUGAAAGACAAUUCAUUGGAAGAAUGUCAGGCUCUCAAAAUCACUAGGAGAUUGGAGAGUCAAUAAGUGGAAAAGUAGAAACUCAGCAAGCUCCCAGUGGCCCGCACAGGUCACAGAAAGAUAAGGCAGAAACAAAAAUCUCAAGUCAUUUGCAGUAUCUGUCAGCUUUCAAUUUGGCUCUCCUGUCUAGAAGCGUCUCAUGCAAAAAUCCAUCUUUCCGAGCCUUUUUAAGAAUUUUAGAAUUGGAAGGAUGUUAGAGGUAAGUUACUGGAUGCAGGAGAUGAGUCUAAGGAGAUUAGCUGUUUGUUUGUUUGUUUGUUUGUUUUUUCAUUUCAUAUGCCUGAGGCCACAAGCUGAUACCCUUUGCGUUUCAACUACUUAUUGCUAUGUAACAAACGAUCUCCAAUCUUAGUGGCUGAAACAUUUUGUUCAUUUGCUCACAGUCCUGCAAUUUGCAAGACUUGGCUGGGAUAGUUC
RNAcentral lists this long non-coding RNA (533 nucleotides) under Callithrix jacchus (white-tufted-ear marmoset). Its description in RNAcentral is "lncRNA (ENSCJAG00000070806.1)". The record is from RNAcentral. Lineage: Eukaryota; Metazoa; Chordata; Mammalia; Primates; Cebidae.